CGUUUGUUGAAUUGUUCAUACGUGUUUCUGGUUUCAUGUUUUUUUUACAUUAGACCUUUAUUUUUCCUGUUCAAAUAGUUUUACACUAGUGUUUUUUUGUGCCUAUCAUAGCUUGCUACUCGAUAAAAACCAAAACUCCGUAUUAAUGACAAACCUAUAGGGAUUUACUUAUAAAAGAUGUAACUUAAAUAAAAAGUUGUCUCAUUUGAACUUAUAC
This 217-nucleotide long non-coding RNA is filed under the name Mytilus galloprovincialis (Mediterranean mussel). The record is from RNAcentral. Lineage: Eukaryota; Metazoa; Mollusca; Bivalvia; Mytilida; Mytilidae.